This is a long non-coding RNA of Manis pentadactyla (Chinese pangolin), 564 nucleotides long. RefSeq lists it as uncharacterized. Lineage: Eukaryota; Metazoa; Chordata; Mammalia; Pholidota; Manidae. The transcript is spliced from 4 exons. The record is from RefSeq and is a predicted model, not a curated record.
CUUUCUUUUAGACUGAAGAGCUAAUCCUCCUCUGGGGUAGAAGCAUGAAUUCAGCUUUUGACAGGCAAAAAUUUCAUUUCCUUCAGUUUCAGUUUUGGUGACUAACUUCUACUCUACAGUUUUUUCUCAAGGAUUAAUGAAAAGACUAAAUCAAGAUGUGGACACAGGAUCAGGGACUGGGUAGAUACUCUUGACUGUUGCAUUCCAGAACUUGGGAAGGAAGGAGCACCUGGGUGAUGUUUACAAAGUUCUGAAGCAAAGUAUGGUGGCAGACUGGAAACUGAGCCUUGAAAGCUAAGUCACAUACCCCAAAUCUACACCAGUAAAACCAAAACUGAAGCGAGUCUGUCUCCAGUGCUCCUGCUCUUCACCGCUGCGUGAACAGAGUAAAACCAGACAGAAAUUCCACUCUGGUUGCCAAGUGACUGACGCAAAACAAUUGCUACAAAAGGAGGACACGCUCAUUGUGGUGAAGAACAGCAAUCCACAGAGGAACCAGGAUAGACGCGGAGAGGCCACUGGCGAGCUGCAUGGUUUUCAUGGUCGGAAGUGGCAGUGGCUCAG